This 62-nucleotide transfer RNA is filed under the name Mazarredia convexa. Its description in RNAcentral is "tRNA-Phe". Lineage: Eukaryota; Metazoa; Arthropoda; Insecta; Orthoptera; Tetrigidae. The record is from RNAcentral.
ACUUAAGUAGUUUAAAGAACGUUGUGCUGAAGACACAAGGGAAAAUUUUUGUUUCUUAAGUA